This 467-nucleotide ribosomal RNA is filed under the name uncultured bacterium. RNAcentral describes it as "partial 16S ribosomal RNA". It matches the Rfam family "Bacterial small subunit ribosomal RNA", at positions 28 to 506 of the family's 1533-position model. The record is from RNAcentral.
GACGAACGCUGGCGGCGUGCUUAACACAUGCAAGUCGAACGGAAAGGCCCUGCUUUUGUGGGGUGCUCGAGUGGCGAACGGGUGAGUAACACGUGAGUAACCUGCCCUUGACUUUGGGAUAACUUCAGGAAACUGGGGCUAAUACCGGAUAGGAGCUCCUGCUGCAUGGUGGGGGUUGGAAAGUUUCGGCGGUUGGGGAUGGACUCGCGGCUUAUCAGCUUGUUGGUGGGGUAGUGGCUUACCAAGGCUUUGACGGGUAGCCGGCCUGAGAGGGUGACCGGCCACAUUGGGACUGAGAUACGGCCCAGACGCCUACGGGAGGCAGCAGUGGAGAAUAUUGCACAAUGGGCGGAAGCCGGAUGCAGCAACGCCGCGUGCGGGAGGACGGCCUUCGGGUUGUAAACCGCUUUCGCCCGUGACGAAGCGUGAGUGACGGUAAUGGGGAAAGAAGCACCGGCUAACUACGU